GCCUGGGUGGCUCAGUCGGUUGAGUGUCUGACUUCAGCUCAGGUCAUGAUCUCACUUGCCAUCUGUGAGUUCAAGCCCCGUGUCAGGCU
This 89-nucleotide transfer RNA is filed under the name Felis catus (domestic cat). It matches the Rfam family "tRNA". From Rfam's summary of the family: Transfer RNA (tRNA) molecules are approximately 80 nucleotides in length. Their secondary structure includes four short double-helical elements and three loops (D, anti-codon, and T loops). Further hydrogen bonds mediate the characteristic L-shaped molecular structure. tRNAs have two regions of fundamental functional importance: the anti-codon, which is responsible for specific mRNA codon recognition, and the 3' end, to which the tRNAs corresponding amino acid is attached (by aminoacyl-tRNA synthetases). tRNAs cope with the degeneracy of the genetic code in two manners: having more than one tRNA (with a specific anti-codon) for a particular amino acid; and 'wobble' base-pairing, i.e. permitting non-standard base-pairing at the 3rd anti-codon position. Lineage: Eukaryota; Metazoa; Chordata; Mammalia; Carnivora; Felidae. The record is from Rfam by way of RNAcentral.